CAAAAUAUGAAGGCCUGGCUUUCGCGGCCGGCUGAAGUAUUUUUUUCACCCAUGUCUUUUGCGCACUUGUUGUUUCCUGGGCGGGUUCGCCCGCCACCAGGACCAAACCAUAAACCUUUUUUUCUUAUGCAGUUUCCAUCAGCGUCAGUAAAAACAAUGUAAUUAUUACAACUUUCAACAACGGAUCUCUUGGUUCUGGCAUCGAUGAAGAACGCAGCGAAAUGCGAUACGUAGUGUGAAUUGCAGAAUUCAGUGAAUCAUCGAAUCUUUGAACGCACAUUGCGCCCUUUGGUAUUCCAAAGGGCAUGCCUGUUCGAGCGUCAUUUGUACCUUCAAGCUUUGCUUGGUGUUGGGCGUUUUUUUGUCUCCCUCUUUCUGGGAGACUCGCCUUAAAACGAUUGGCAGCCGGCCUACUGGUUUCGGAGCGCAGCACAUUUUUUGCGCUUUGUAUCAGGAGAAAAGGACGGUACUCCAUCAAGACUCUACAUUUUUCACUUUUGACCUCGGAUCAGGUAGGGAUACCCGCUGAACUUAAGCAUAUCA
Molecule: ribosomal RNA, 543 nt
Filed under: Bipolaris oryzae
Lineage: Eukaryota; Fungi; Ascomycota; Dothideomycetes; Pleosporales; Pleosporaceae
Description: eukaryotic LSU rRNA
Rfam family: 5.8S ribosomal RNA (bases 170-323)
Source: RNAcentral